GACGAACGCUGGCGGCGUGCUUAACACAUGCAAGUCGAACGGAAAGGCCCUGCUUUUGUGGGGUGCUCGAGUGGCGAACGGGUGAGUAACACGUGAGUAACCUGCCCUUGACUUUGGGAUAACUUCAGGAAACUGGGGCUAAUACCGGAUAGGAGCUCCUGCUGCAUGGUGGGGGUUGGAAAGUUUCGGCGGUUGGGGAUGGACUCGCGGCUUAUCAGCUUGUUGGUGGGGUAGUGGCUUACCAAGGCUUUGACGGGUAGCCCGCCUGAGAGGGUGACCGGCCACAUUGGGACUGAGAUACGGCCCAGACUCCUACGGGCGGCAGCAGUGGGGAAUAUUGCACAAUGGGCGGAAGCCUGAUGCAGCAACGCCGCGUGCGGGAUGACGGCCUUCGGGUUGUAAACCGCUUUCGCCUGUGACGAAGCGUGAGUGACGGUAAUGGGUAAAGAAGCACCGGCUAACUACGUG
RNAcentral lists this ribosomal RNA (468 nucleotides) under uncultured bacterium. RNAcentral's name for it is "partial 16S ribosomal RNA". It matches the Rfam family "Bacterial small subunit ribosomal RNA", at positions 28 to 507 of the family's 1533-position model. The record is from RNAcentral.